This 502-nucleotide ribosomal RNA is filed under the name Salmonella enterica subsp. enterica serovar Muenster. RNAcentral's name for it is "partial 23S ribosomal RNA". It matches the Rfam family "Bacterial large subunit ribosomal RNA", at positions 137 to 678 of the family's 2925-position model. The record is from RNAcentral. Lineage: Bacteria; Pseudomonadati; Pseudomonadota; Gammaproteobacteria; Enterobacterales; Enterobacteriaceae.
GACUCGUCACACUAUCAUUAACUGAAUCCAUAGGUUAAUGAGGCGAACCGGGGGAACUGAAACAUCUAAGUACCCCGAGGAAAAGAAAUCAACCGAGAUUCCCCCAGUAGCGGCGAGCGAACGGGGAGGAGCCCAGAGCCUGAAUCAGCAUGUGUGUUAGUGGAAGCGUCUGGAAAGGCGCGCGAUACAGGGUGACAGCCCCGUACACAAAAGCGCAUGUGCUGUGAGCUCGAUGAGUAGGGCGGGACACGUGGUAUCCUGUCUGAAUAUGGGGGGACCAUCCUCCAAGGCUAAAUACUCCUGACUGACCGAUAGUGAACCAGUACCGUGAGGGAAAGGCGAAAAGAACCCCGGCGAGGGGAGUGAAAAAGAACCUGAAACCGUGUACGUACAAGCAGUGGGAGCACAGGUUUACCUGUGUGACUGCGUACCUUUUGUAUAAUGGGUCAGCGACUUAUAUUCUGUAGCAAGGUUAACCGAAUAGGGGAGCCGGAGGGAAACC